UUCUUCUGAUUUUCAAAUACAUUUCCUGAAUCACUGUGGUGUUUGUUCCUGGAGGUCGUCUGCUUUCCCCUUGACACUUUUCACAGGAACGUCUUGUCCUUUCAUGAUGGCCCUGCUCAGCAGACCAACAUGCCAUCAAGUGUCUGAAACACAAGAUCCCCGUGGAAGGACAAGAGCAAUAUCUCUGGGUAUGAACAGCAAUGAAAUAUGUGAGUGAAUCUCUGUCUUUCCAUUCCUCAAAAGCAAGAUUUGGGAGCUGAGCAGGUUCCUGUGUAUGUUGAGAUGAAGUUAAUAUAGAAAGGAAAGACUCUGAAGAAAAGUGAGAUUAUAGUGUUCUUCCUAAGGAAAUGAGCAGCCCACAAAGCAUAAGGUAGGUGGACUGGAAGAUUGAUUUUUCUGUAGAUUUGAGUAACAGUUACCACCACAAAGUCCAUAUGUUAAAUUGAACUUUAUGGCUCCAGUCAUGUUUUGUUUAAUAUUGCAUCUUAAACAUUAGGAAAUAAUGUCUGUUCUCCUUACUUCCAUAUCAUUUUUUCUUGAUAUAUACCGAUUCACAUAUAUUUAAUUCCCCCCCCCAAUUUUUAAUAUCACUUUCUUCUUAACUCUAAGAAAAACAAGUCUAUUUGUACAUAGAUAAAUUGUUGAGGUAACAUUUUCACAGGCUCACAUAAGAGCAAACAUGAGAGCACAUGCAUGCACAUUGUAUGAAGGUAUGUCUCUGUAUUUUCUUUUUUUUUUUUCUUAAAGAUUUAUUUAUGUAUAUGAGUAUGCUAUACCUGUCUUCAGACACACCAGAAGAGGGCAUUGGAUCCCCAUAACAUGUGGUUGCUGGGAAUUGAAUUCAGGACCUCUACAAAAGCAGUCAGUGCUCUUAACUGCUGAGCCAUCUCUCCAGCCCAUGUCUCUG
This is a long non-coding RNA of Mus musculus (house mouse), 907 nucleotides long. RefSeq annotates it as predicted gene, 31955. The record is from RefSeq and is a predicted model, not a curated record. NCBI's taxonomy places the organism in Eukaryota, Metazoa, Chordata, Mammalia, Rodentia, Muridae. The transcript has 3 exons.